This 468-nucleotide ribosomal RNA is filed under the name uncultured archaeon. RNAcentral's name for it is "bacterial SSU rRNA". It matches the Rfam family "Archaeal small subunit ribosomal RNA", at positions 339 to 809 of the family's 1478-position model. The record is from RNAcentral.
GCGCGAAAACUCCACAAUGCACGCAAGUGCGAUGGGGUCACUUCGAGUGCCGCCUGAAGAAGGUGGCUUUUCCACAGUUUAGCGAGCUGUGGGAAUAAGAGGGGGGCAAGACUGGUGUCAGCCGCCGCGGUAACACCAGCCCCUCGAGUGGUGGGGACGUUUAUUUGGCCUAAAGCGUCCGUAGCCGGCUAUGUAAGUCCCUCGUUAAAUCUAGCGUCCUAAGCGCUAGCUCGCGAGGGAUACUGCAAAGCUAGAGGGUGGGAGAGGUUAGCGGUAUUUCCGGGGUAGGGGCGAAAUCCUUUGAUCCCGGGAGGACCACCAGUGGCGAAGGCUGCUGACUAGAACACGCCUGACGGUGAGGGACGAAAGCUGGGGGAGCGAAUCGGAUUAGAUACCCGAGUAGUCCCAGCUGUAAACGAUGCAGGCUAGGUGUUGGAGCGGCCAUGUGCCGCUCCAGUGCCGCAGGGA